This 187-nucleotide unclassified non-coding RNA is filed under the name Glomeromycetes sp. Its description in RNAcentral is "partial contains 5.8S ribosomal RNA and internal transcribed spacer 2". The stretch from base 1 to 71 matches the Rfam family "5.8S ribosomal RNA", at positions 84 to 154 of the family's 154-position model. The record is from RNAcentral. Lineage: Eukaryota; Fungi; Glomeromycota; Glomeromycetes.
GUGAAUCAUCAAAUCUUUGAACGCAAAUUGCGCUCCCUGGCAUCCCGGGAAGUAUGCCUGUUUGAGGGUCAGUUUUAAUAAGAAAUCGGGUUAGUUACAAAUUGUGACGUUUCCGGGGGUGGGGCUAUCUUAACAGUUUGGGUUACGAUGCUUAAAAUUGACCUUUUUUUCGCAUUUUUAGACGGAC